GGAGAGAUGCCGGAGCGGCUGAACGGGACGGUCUCGAAAACCGUUGAAGGAGCAAUCCUUCCGAGGGUUCAAAUCCCUCUCUCUCCGCCA
This 90-nucleotide transfer RNA is filed under the name Bruguierivorax albus. RNAcentral's name for it is "Biostraticola sp. BGMRC 2031 tRNA-Ser". It matches the Rfam family "tRNA". From Rfam's summary of the family: Transfer RNA (tRNA) molecules are approximately 80 nucleotides in length. Their secondary structure includes four short double-helical elements and three loops (D, anti-codon, and T loops). Lineage: Bacteria; Pseudomonadati; Pseudomonadota; Gammaproteobacteria; Enterobacterales; Bruguierivoracaceae. RNAcentral also lists the same sequence under 1 other name. The record is from RNAcentral.